GGCCCUCUUUCUCNUCGGAGGAGAGGGCUGGGCCGCUUCCGUCGGGUCGGCGGCCGAGGAGGCCACUGCGCGUCAGUGGUCGCCGACGGCUCCGUCGCGCUCUGGCGGGAGGCCGGUCACACCUCG
Molecule: ribosomal RNA, 126 nt
Filed under: Abyssocladia oxyasters
Lineage: Eukaryota; Metazoa; Porifera; Demospongiae; Poecilosclerida; Cladorhizidae
Description: partial 28S ribosomal RNA
Source: RNAcentral